This 547-nucleotide ribosomal RNA is filed under the name uncultured Glomeromycotina. Its description in RNAcentral is "SSU rRNA". It matches the Rfam family "Eukaryotic small subunit ribosomal RNA", at positions 548 to 1098 of the family's 1831-position model. The record is from RNAcentral. Lineage: Eukaryota; Fungi; Glomeromycota.
UUGGAGGGCAAGUCUGGUGCCAGCAGCCGCGGUAAUUCCAGCUCCAAUAGCGUAUAUUAAAGUUGUUGCAGUUAAAAAGCUCGUAGUUGAAUUUCGGGAUCAAUAUGUUGGUCGUGCCUUGGUACGUACUAGUUUAUUGGUUUCUUCCUUCUGACGAACCAUGAUGUCAUUAAUUUGGUGUCUUGGGGAAUCAGGACUGUUACUUUGAAAAAAUUAGAGUGUUUAAAGCAGGCUCACGCUUGAAUACAUUAGCAUGGAAUAAUGAAAUAGGACGCUUGAUUCUAUUUUGUUGGUUUCUAGGAUCGACGUAAUGAUUAAUAGGGAUAGUUGGGGGCAUUAGUAUUCAAUUGUCAGAGGUGAAAUUCUUGGAUUUAUUGAAGACUAACUACUGCGAAAGCAUUUGCCAAGGAUGUUUUCAUUAAUCAAGAACGAAAGUUAGGGGAUCGAAGACGAUCAGAUACCGUCGUAGUCUUAACCAUAAACUAUGCCGACUAGGGAUCGGAUGAUGUUAAUUUUUUAAUGACUCAUUCGGCGCCUUACGGGAAAC